GACGAACGCUGGCGGCGUGCCUAACACAUGCAAGUCGAACGGAAGUAAGUGCUUCGGUAUUUACUUUAGUGGCGAACGGGUGAGUAACGCGUGAGGAACCUGCCUUUCAGUGGGGGACAACAGUUAGAAAUGACUGCUAAUACCGCAUAAGACCACAGCACCGCAUGGUGCAGGGGUAAAAACUCCGGUGGUAUGAGAUGGAUCCGCGUCUGAUUAGCUAGUUGGUAAGGUAACGGCUUACCAAGGCAACGAUCAGUAGCCGACCUGAGAGGGUGACCGGCCACAUUGGGACUGAGACACGGCCCAA
Molecule: ribosomal RNA, 307 nt
Filed under: uncultured bacterium
Lineage: Bacteria
Description: bacterial SSU rRNA
Rfam family: Bacterial small subunit ribosomal RNA
Source: RNAcentral